Molecule: long non-coding RNA, 379 nt
Organism: Mesocricetus auratus (golden hamster)
Lineage: Eukaryota; Metazoa; Chordata; Mammalia; Rodentia; Cricetidae
Exons: 3
Source: RefSeq, a predicted model, not a curated record
AACUGGCCCAGCAGCUACUGGGCUCAUGUGAGCCUCCUAUCUUCUGAAAGUGAACUGAGGAAUCCCAAAGUCAGAGAAACAUACAGGACAAACGUCAGCCCAUCUAAGGUGCUGUGAUUAAAUGUGUGCAUCACCACCGCCUGACAAAGAUUUUCUUAAUUGGGUUAAUUGAGGCAGGAAGUUCCACCUUGAAUGCAGGAGGUUCCAUUCAUGGACUCAGUUCUGGACUGAUGAAAGGGAGAAAUAAUACAAGCCUGCAUGCAUUCAUUGCUGGUUCCUGAAUAUGACUCAACGUGACUAGCUGCUUCAAGCUCCUGCCACCUUGACAUCCCCGCCAUAAUGGACUGUACCCUUGAACUGUGAGCCAAAAUAAACCCUU